This 78-nucleotide microRNA precursor is filed under the name Schistosoma mansoni. RNAcentral's name for it is "mir-3492 microRNA precursor family". It matches the Rfam family "mir-3492 microRNA precursor family". Lineage: Eukaryota; Metazoa; Platyhelminthes; Trematoda; Strigeidida; Schistosomatidae. The record is from Rfam by way of RNAcentral.
AGCUUUUUGAAUUCAUGCCGAUAUUUUGUCAGACACCAACUCAUUAGGAGCGAUGAGACUUCCAAGAUAAGUGAAGUG